UACGGAGGGUGAAAGCGUUAUCCGGAUUCACUGGGUUUAAAGGGUGCGUAGGUGGGUUGGUAAGUCAGUGGUGAAAUCUCCGAGCUUAACUUGGAAACUGCCAUUGAUACUAUCAGUCUUGAAUAUUGUGGAGGUCAGCGGAAUAUGUCAUGUAGCGGUGAAAUGCUUAGAUAUGACAUAGAACACCAAUUGCGAAGGCAGCUGGCUACGCAUAUAUUGACACUGAGGCACGAAAGCGUGGGGAUCAAACAGG
RNAcentral lists this ribosomal RNA (253 nucleotides) under uncultured bacterium. RNAcentral's name for it is "partial 16S ribosomal RNA". It matches the Rfam family "Bacterial small subunit ribosomal RNA", at positions 524 to 776 of the family's 1533-position model. The record is from RNAcentral.